UACGUAGGGGGCAAGCGUUGUCCGGAAUCAUUGGGCGUAAAGAGCGUGUAGGCGGCUCGGUAAGUCCGCUGUGAAAGUCCAGGGCUCAACCCUGGAAUGCCGGUGGAAACUGUCGAGCUAGAGUCCGGAAGAGGCGAGUGGAAUUCCUGGUGUAGCGGUGAAAUGCGCAGAUAUCGGGAAGAACACCCGUGGCAAAGGCGGCUCUCUGGGACGGUACUGACGCUGAGACGCGAAAGCGUGGGGAGCGAACAGG
RNAcentral lists this ribosomal RNA (253 nucleotides) under uncultured bacterium. RNAcentral describes it as "partial 16S ribosomal RNA". It matches the Rfam family "Bacterial small subunit ribosomal RNA", at positions 524 to 776 of the family's 1533-position model. The record is from RNAcentral.